This 253-nucleotide unclassified non-coding RNA is filed under the name uncultured Gammaproteobacteria bacterium. Its description in RNAcentral is "contains 16S-23S intergenic spacer region". It matches the Rfam family "Bacterial small subunit ribosomal RNA", at positions 524 to 776 of the family's 1533-position model. The record is from RNAcentral. Lineage: Bacteria; Pseudomonadati; Pseudomonadota; Gammaproteobacteria.
UACAGAGGGUGCGAGCGUUAAUCGGAAUUACUGGGCGUAAAGCGCAUGUAGGUGGUUUGGUAAGUUGGCUGUGAAAGCCCUGGGCUCAACCUGGGAACUGCAUUCAAAACUCUCAAACUAGAGUAGAGUAGAGGGAAGUGGAAUUUCCGGUGUAGCGGUGAAAUGCGUAGAUAUCGGAAGGAACACCAGUGGCGAAGGCGGCUUCCUGGACUCAUACUGACACUGAGGUGCGAAAGCGUGGGGAGCAAACAGG